AUGAAGGCCACAACUGGGUAUAUGUUUACUCUAGGAGGUCGUGCUGUUUCCUGGAAGUCUUGCAAGCAAACGAUCUUAACGAGAUCGACAAUGGAAGUAGAAUUAACAACAUUAGACACAUCUGGUGUCGAAGCAGGAUGGCUUCGAGAUCUUUUGAUGGACCUGCCAUUGGUUGAUAAACCAGUUUCGGCUAUCCUUAUGAACUGUGACAAUCAGACUGUCAUCACCAAGGUGAAGAGUUCAAAGGACAACAUGAAGUCCAACAAACACAUAAGAAUGAGAUUAAAAGCUAUCAGAAAAUUAAGAAACUCCGGAGUGAUAGCGUUGGAGUAUGUCCACACGUCUAAGAAUCUGGCAGAUCCCUUUACAAAAGGGCUAUCACGUGUUGUGAUAGAUAAUGCAUCACGGGAGAUGGGUAUAAGACCCACAUGA
Molecule: ribosomal RNA, 432 nt
Filed under: Triticum aestivum (bread wheat)
Lineage: Eukaryota; Viridiplantae; Streptophyta; Magnoliopsida; Poales; Poaceae
Description: partial small subunit ribosomal RNA
Source: RNAcentral